This 229-nucleotide ribosomal RNA is filed under the name uncultured bacterium. RNAcentral describes it as "partial 16S ribosomal RNA". It matches the Rfam family "Bacterial small subunit ribosomal RNA", at positions 568 to 796 of the family's 1533-position model. The record is from RNAcentral.
UCCGUAGGCGGAUAAUUAAGUCAGAGGUGAAAUCCCACAGCUCAACUGUGGAACUGCCUUUGAUACUGGUUGUCUUGAGUUACAGUGAAGUAGAUAGAAUAUGUAGUGUAGCGGUGAAAUGCAUAGAUAUUACAUAGAAUACCGAUUGCGAAGGCAGUCUACUAACUGUAUACUGACGCUAAUGGACGAAAGCGUGGGGAGCGAACAGGAUUAGAUACCCUGGUAGUCC